This 164-nucleotide ribosomal RNA is filed under the name uncultured bacterium. Its description in RNAcentral is "partial 16S rRNA". It matches the Rfam family "Bacterial small subunit ribosomal RNA", at positions 355 to 511 of the family's 1533-position model. The record is from RNAcentral.
UAGGGAAUCUUCCACAAUGGACGCAAGUCUGAUGGAGCAACGCCGCGUGAGUGAAGAAGGGUUUCGGCUCGUAAAGCUCUGUUGUUAAAGAAGAACGUGGGUGAGAGUAACUGUUUACCCAGUGACGGUAUUUAACCAGAAAGCCACGGCUAACUACGUGCCAG